GAGAAGGAACUGUCUCCACAGACCUAAACCGUUGGCCACCCUUACUGGGAUCCAAAGGUAAACUCUCAAGAAAUACUCAUUGCAGACCAAAGCCAUUUUCUAUUUCCUGAAAGUAAGAUCGUUUCUAAAAAACGAUUCUUGCUAUAUACCUCAUUACCAUUUCUUUUCUCUUUGUUAACUAUAAUUAUCUUAGUCUUAAACUUUAUACUACAUACCAAGUAUCUGACUUGUCUUAAACUUUUGAGUUUGACCAUCUUAGUUCUGUGGCCCCGAAAAGGAAAACUGGUUUCACAUUCACUCUUUCUGUUGCAGAAAUGGGCAAAGUAAAGAGGCAUUUUAUACAUCCUUAAUUAAUUUCAUAUUUAUGUCGUCCUCCUCUUUGGAUUCACAGAUCUAGACCAGUAAUUAGUAAGUGGCUGCCCUGAUGAACAAAGGGGCGUGGGCCAGAGCGGGAGUGAGGAAGUUGUUCUCUAAAUCCAUUUCUGUUUCAAACAUCUUUUAUACAUAUUACUAAAGAGAACAGAGCAAGAAAUGCAAAUAAUAAUAGUUCUUUAUUUUAUUAUGACAGUUAAUUAAUAGCAACCUGUUUUAAUGAAUAAAGUCACUCAGAGUCCUUCAGCACUUCCUAAGUAGAGGCCCGAGUCUGUAGGGAUUCUUCCCCUGAUUGUAUAGCUCCUAGACUCCGAGCACUAUCUAGGCCCCUGUAUAGAAAUGCUCACUAAUGAAGAGGGAGGGCUAGAAGCUUGUCUGCAUUCAAAGAUCACUGGUGAGUCAUUCAGCAAGAAAAGGCCCCUUACCAGGCAUAGUCACAGUUCCGUAGCAUUGUACUAGCAAAAGGGUCUGAUCAAAGGUCCCCCGUGGAGCUUGCAUGGCUCCCUUUCAUACCACGACCAUAAUUAAAACCACUAAUUCUCUUUUAAAAUGCUGCAGGAUGCCAUGUAGGCAUCUGUCUGGAGUGUCCUUUGUGAUGUCAUAAGCUGUUAAGGACCAGUGCCGAGGGCUUUUGAGUGAAAUGCCAGUCAUGAAGGUGCUUCAAGACAAGGGUACCUCUAAAAGCUUGACAGGGCCUUGACUGCACAAUUCGAGCUGAAUUUGCCCCUUGUCAGCUGCCAGUAAAUAAAUCUCAAAGGGGGGAGCUGCAGUUUCAUUACCUGAUCCGUGGGGCUUUGUUGGUCUUGGCAUCACACAGGGGAAGCUCUUGCUCCUCCUUUCUGUGGAUUUGAAGAUGUCCAUUGGAGCCUGCAGUGCCUGGACAGGGUUCAGAGCGGAGCCUUUUGAAGAGUGUCAAUAGUUGUAACAGUUCAGCUGUUAGGAAGACAAAUACGUGGAGGAGCUCAUUAAUCCGCUUUGGCUCUCGGUGCCUUUUGCCCUUUUAUCACAGCCUUAUUAGGCUCCUGCUCAUCUUGAACCAGAAAAAACCGAAUUGAAGUUGUUGAGUACUAAUUGGCAAAGACUUUUAAUCAUGGGCCAAGAACUUUCACUGACUUGAAAGUAACUUCUCCACAGGGACGAGCCAGAAACCUGGUUCACCUUAAAACAAAAACCUGUUGGAGCUCAGUGUGCUGUGAGAAUCGGAGGAAGCGUCGGUAAACUGUCCAAGGCUAUCGACUCAAAGAAAUUAUGGAAGAUUAUGACUUUAGCUUUUCUAGGGGACAAGGACAAUAAAAUCCAAACGUUUCUUCAGAAAGCCUUCAUUGGUUCAGAAAAAUCACUUGAGUAUGUGUGGCAACCAUGUUUGUUUCUGAACAUCCUUCAUAUGUGUGGCUGUUCCUCUGAGGAUCUACAUAUGCACCCGGGAUUGAUCAAAAGGAGCGUUUUCCAUCUGGCCUCACGAGUGGCAACCUGAGAACACCUUUCAAAUGUGUGCCGGCGUGUAGGCGUGUCCGCUGAGUGUGCUUUGCACAUGAGUGUUAGCGCUUGGCACAGGUUGAUAUUGGCACAGCACUGACUUUAGACGGCUUGGACAAAGCAAUAAUAUAAAUAGUGUGAGACGAAAUCACCACAACUAUGUAAAUUCCUUAAAACCAACUGGAAACGAAAAACCUUCGAAUGGAACUAGCAUUUAAGGACGGUUAGCCUUGCUAGCCUGCAUUCCCAGUCAGCUAUGGAAGAACUUUUUUCCUUUCUCCUGUGUGAAGCUAAAGUUGCUUUUCCUUGUGUUCUCGCUUUUCCUUGGCUGGAGCAUAACAGCAUAAAAUCAGAUAAAGGGCUCCCCUCAGUCCAGCCCCCGGCUGAGGAGGGCGUGAGGAGAUGGUUUCUUGUAUAGGAUUUGGCCAGCAUCCUCCUCCGUGUCCCCGGAGUGCCAGGGGUUGGCAGAUCUACAGGAACCCCACAAAGCCAACUUCUGCCUGCAGGUUAGCCUGAGGAGCCAGCAGAGCUGUCUGUCUCUCCACACCACAGUGCCUGCUGCCUGGACCCUGGGGCUAGCCCACACCAGAGGGCACAGGACACUGUGGCUGUCAUAUUCACUAGCAAAGCUCCUACACAUCCUACCUGCCACCCUUCUCUGCUUCCUGCCGUGUGAAUUCGAGAGCAUGCGCAGUUCCUAGAGCCUGUUCCCUCUUGUUUUUUUAAAAGAACCAUUAAAAAAAAAAUACGUGUUUCGUUCUGUUACUCCAAUUGUAGCCAAAAGAAAAGAAAAUUAAUUAUAAUGUAUUAAAAAAUUUGAAAGCUUGCAA
This 2678-nucleotide long non-coding RNA is filed under the name Rattus norvegicus (Norway rat). Its description in RNAcentral is "long non-coding RNA NONRATT010352". The record is from RNAcentral. Lineage: Eukaryota; Metazoa; Chordata; Mammalia; Rodentia; Muridae.